Molecule: ribosomal RNA, 253 nt
Filed under: uncultured bacterium
Lineage: Bacteria
Description: partial 16S ribosomal RNA
Rfam family: Bacterial small subunit ribosomal RNA
Source: RNAcentral
GACGUAGGGCGCGAGCGUUGUCCGGAUUUAUUGGGCGUAAAGAGCUCGUAGGCGGCUUGUCGCGUCGACCGUGAAAACUUGGGGCUUAACCCUAAGCCUGCGGUCGAUACGGGCAGGCUAGAGUUCGGUAGGGGAGACUGGAAUUCCUGGUGUAGCGGUGAAAUGCGCAGAUAUCAGGAGGAACACCGGUGGCGAAGGCGGGUCUCUGGGCCGAUACUGACGCUGAGGAGCGAAAGCGUGGGGAGCGAACAGG